CGCCACAUCCAGCGCGGCCCCGCCCUGGGAACGCGUUCCCGGCUGGCCCCGCCCCCCUCGGCGCGCGCGAGGCGGAAGUGAGAGGGAAGCGAGGCGGAAGUGAGGCGGCGUUGCGUCGCUUUAAUGGCCGCCUGUCGCGGCGAGGACGCUCUGAGGGCGGCCACGCGCCGGGCCGCACAACGAACCACAGACACUGGUGCCUACACGCAGCUCUGCUCGCUCCUCCGGCUCUCUCCGCUCAGUGCAACCACGCCUGUGCGCUGCCGUGGUUGCCUCGGUGGAAGUCGUCCAGGAUUUGCCGUGUUUGGCAAAGUUUUUCUGGCGAACGGCCUUUCUGCUGAACAGCUCGUGAGCCUCCGAAUGCGCUGAGCGGGCCUCUCGGGUGUAAGGUUUAGACUCUUCCCCUCUGCAGCAUCACUCGGGAUAUCUCAGGGGAACAGCUACUUGCUGUGGUCGUCCUGGAACUCAGCUGGUGGCGCUCGAUUCAGACUUUUCCCAGCUUAUCCAUUCACAGAGGCUUCUUCCCAACAGUAUCUCCCGUUGUCAUGCCACGUGGGAUUUUCUUUUUUUUUUGUAUUUGCCGUUUGUAGACUUUCUGGGAAGAGAGGUCACCCUGGAUCUACAGCUCUCCUGCAGAAUUUGUGCUGAGGCAACUUCAUGAAACAGAGUAGAAAUAAGACAGGACAAUGAAAGCUAAUGAAAUAUGAAGAUUUUCACCAUCCUUCAACCUGGAAGGAAACACAAUCUAGGAUGUGGUAGUGACCUCUUUAUUACUGACCUGUUGUCAGCCGCAAAUAAAAGUUUUUGCAACCUUAA
Molecule: long non-coding RNA, 816 nt
Organism: Haemorhous mexicanus (house finch)
Lineage: Eukaryota; Metazoa; Chordata; Aves; Passeriformes; Fringillidae
Exons: 2
Source: RefSeq, a predicted model, not a curated record